Molecule: ribosomal RNA, 467 nt
Filed under: uncultured bacterium
Lineage: Bacteria
Description: partial 16S ribosomal RNA
Rfam family: Bacterial small subunit ribosomal RNA
Source: RNAcentral
GACGAACGCUGGCGGCGUGCUUAACACAUGCAAGUCGAACGGAAAGGCUCCAGCUUGCUGGAGUGCUCGAGUGGCGAACGGGUGAGUAACACGUGGGCAAUCUGCCCUGCACUCUGGGAUAAGCCUGGGAAACUGGGUCUAAUACCGGAUAGGACCUUUCUCCUCAUGGGGUUUGGUGGAAAGUUUUUCGGUGCAGGAUGAGCCCGCGGCCUAUCAGCUUGUUGGUGGGGUAAUGGCCUACCAAGGCGACGACGGGUAGCCGGCCUGAGAGGGUGAUCGGCCACAUUGGGACUGAGAUACGGCCCAGACUCCUACGGGAGGCAGCAGUGGGGAAUAUUGCACAAUGGGCGAAAGCCUGAUGCAGAGACGCCGCGUGAGGGAUGACGGCCUUCGGGUUGUAAACCUCUUUCAGUAGGGACGAAGCGCAAGUGACGGUACCUGCAGAAGAAGCACCGGCUAACUACGUG